CAACCUGCCGCUUACUCGGGGAUAGCCUUUCGAAAGAAAGAUUAAUACCCGAUGGUAUAAAGAGUUCGCAUGUUCUCUUUAUUAAAGAAUUUCGGUAAGCGAUGGGGAUGCGUUCCAUUAGAUAGUUGGCAGGGUAACGGCCCACCAAGUCUACGAUGGAUAGGGGUUCUGAGAGGAAGGUCCCCCACAUUGGAACUGAGACACGGUCCAAACUCCUACGGGAGGCAGCAGUGAGGAAUAUUGGUCAAUGGACGAGAGUCUGAACCAGCCAAGUAGCGUGAAGGAUGACUGCCCUAUGGGUUGUAAACUUCUUUUAUAAGGGAAUAAAGUGAGGGACGUGUCCCUUUUUGUAUGUACCUUAUGAAUAAGGAUCGGCUAACUCCGUGCCAGCAGCCGCGGUAAUACGGAGGAUCCAAGCGUUAUCCGGAUUUAUUGGGUUUAAAGGGAGCGUAGGUUGACAUAUAAGUCAGCUGUGAAAGUUUACGGCUCAACCGUGAAAUUGCAGUUGAUACUGUAUGUCUUGAGUGUACAAGAGGUGGGCGGAAUUCGUGGUGUAGCGGUGAAAUGCUUAGAUAUCACGAAGAACUCCGAUUG
This 594-nucleotide ribosomal RNA is filed under the name uncultured Bacteroidota bacterium. RNAcentral's name for it is "bacterial SSU rRNA". It matches the Rfam family "Bacterial small subunit ribosomal RNA", at positions 122 to 715 of the family's 1533-position model. Lineage: Bacteria; Pseudomonadati; Bacteroidota. The record is from RNAcentral.